GAACGCUGGCGGCGUGCUUAACACAUGCAAGUCGAACGAUGAAGCCCUUCGGGGUGGAUUAGUGGCGAACGGGUGAGUAACACGUGGGCAAUCUGCCCUUCACUCUGGGACAAGCCCUGGAAACGGGGUCUAAUACCGGAUACGAGGUUCGGAGGCAUCUCUGAACUUGGAAAGCUCCGGCGGUGAAGGAUGAGCCCGCGGCCUAUCAGCUUGUUGGUGAGGUAAUGGCUCACCAAGGCGACGACGGGUAGCCGGCCUGAGAGGGCGACCGGCCACACUGGGACUGAGACACGGCCCAGACUCCUACGGGAGGCAGCAGUGGGGAAUAUUGCACAAUGGGCGAAAGCCUGAUGCAGCGACGCCGCGUGAGGGAUGACGGCCUUCGGGUUGUAAACCUCUUUCAGCAGGGAAGAAGCGAAAGUGACGGUACCUGCAGAAGAAGCGCCGGCUAACUACGUGCCAGCAGCCGCGGUAAUACGUAGGGCGCAAGCGUUGUCCGGAAUUAUUGGGCGUAAAGAGCUCGUAGGCGG
This 530-nucleotide ribosomal RNA is filed under the name Streptomyces niveiscabiei. Its description in RNAcentral is "bacterial SSU rRNA". It matches the Rfam family "Bacterial small subunit ribosomal RNA", at positions 31 to 578 of the family's 1533-position model. The record is from RNAcentral. Lineage: Bacteria; Bacillati; Actinomycetota; Actinomycetes; Kitasatosporales; Streptomycetaceae.